AGUGGGGAAUAUUGGACAAUGGGCGCAAGCCUGAUCCAGCCAUGCCGCGUGAGUGAUGAAGGCCUUAGGGUUGUAAAGCUCUUUUGUCCGGGAAGAUAAUGACUGUACCGGAAGAAUAAGCCCCGGCUAACUUCGUGCCAGCAGCCGCGGUAAUACGAAGGGGGCUAGCGUUGCUCGGAAUCACUGGGCGUAAAGGGCGCGUAGGCGGACUUUUAAGUCGGAGGUGAAAGCCCAGGGCUCAACCCUGGAAUUGCCUUCGAUACUGGGAGUCUUGAGUUCGGAAGAGGUUGGUGGAACUGCGAGUGUAGAGGUGAAAUUCGUAGAUAUUCGCAAGAACACCGGUGGCGAAGGCGGCCAACUGGUCCGAAACUGACGCUGAGGCGCGAAAGCGUGGGGAGCAAA
RNAcentral lists this ribosomal RNA (402 nucleotides) under uncultured Bradyrhizobiaceae bacterium. Its description in RNAcentral is "bacterial SSU rRNA". It matches the Rfam family "Bacterial small subunit ribosomal RNA", at positions 353 to 772 of the family's 1533-position model. The record is from RNAcentral. Lineage: Bacteria; Pseudomonadati; Pseudomonadota; Alphaproteobacteria; Hyphomicrobiales; Nitrobacteraceae.